AAUACGCUAGGAAAGGACUGCUAUAACUAGGACUACUGUGUUAUGACCUUGUGGGAAACAAAAAUACCUUAGUUACUUUCUCAUCUUGAUAACAACCUAAAAUCUAUUUUUGUUCACUUGAUAACCACAUAACUGGAUGAAUUUGUUUAAAAAAAAACCUCCCCCUUUUACUUCAUUGUUUUGGAAAUACCUUGACUAAAAAGUUAUAAUCGUAGGUUAAGAUUAAGUCUAAACCAUAUUCUUUGUGGAUUGACCCCAACCUACUAGUUGGGUUCGUUAUUUGAUAAAGAGACUUUAUCGACUUAUUUCAUAUCAUGGUUCACGCCUUAAAAAUCAGUGCGGUUUACUCUUCCUUUUCGAUGCCCGUGGAACUACUGUCAAUGGUUUACUUCUUGGGAAUGUUUAAAAAAAAAGAGUACUACGUGAUUUUUUGAAUAUGCCUAUAUUUAUCGCUUUUGCUUGAAUCGAAUAGAUGGCUGGGAACCCUUUCCCCUGGCUUGGUUGGUUAUAUAAGAGAAUCCCGGGAGAAAGUAAGUUAGACCUUACUUAGGGCGAAAGAUUUCUUGGAUGGUUCAUUCCAGUCUGAAGUCAGUCAAGUCAUGGAAUUGACAGAAGUUCCCCCUUAACCAACCCUAAGAGGGAAUUCUUCUAUUCAUUAAGAUGAAGCCAUUCAGUCAGCUCUGAAUCUGAACUCAAUGAUUGCAAUUCAAGAAGGGCAUGAAGAAAGAAGUGAAGAAUCACCAUUCAUCUUCUUCGAUGCACCGUAUCUCUGUCUUUCUCUGUUUGUCUAUUCUAAUAUGUUGUCCCAAAGCCUUCAAUUUGCCUUUCCCUGUAGGAAUUCCUUUUUCAUUCGUUCUUUUGUUGGGCUGGAUUAUUCAUAACUUCAUAUUUACAAUGUAGGCGUGGUGAUCAGUUGGACCUUUGAUUAAUUAACAUUUAUUUUUGAUUGACCUCCUCCUUACUUUAAUUCACAGGCAUAGGAGGUCAAAUUCCGAUUGUUCUGAAAGUUACUGAAUGGAUCUAUUUUAUUCUAAUUCGAUCUAAGAAAAAAAGAAUUACGCUCUGUAGGAUUUGAACCUACGACAUCGGGUUUUGGAGACCCACAUUCUACCGAAUUGAACUAAGAGCGCUUUCUUAUCAGAAUAGAUAAGUCUGUAAAUAAAAGGAUUCUUUUCAUAACCCCAAUACAUUUUGGAUGCAUAUACUAGAAUAGCAUGAUAAAAAUCAAAGAUUAUGUCCAAUUUGAAGCGAUCUCAAGUGAUCCCUCGUUAAUGCUCCUUUGAGCAGUAAUAGGUAGGGAUGACAGGAUUUGAACCCGUGACAUUUUGUACCCAAAACAGACGCGCUACCAAGCUGCGCCACAUCCCUUCAAUUGUUCGACAGUGUAAUUGUAGAGAAUUCCUGUCUUGUUUUCCACGUGGUUAUUUCCUCCAUUGAUAUAUACAAAUUUCUGCUCAUUUAGUCUUUUUGGUCUCAUUUAACAUAUAAUAGUAAAAGGAAAAGACUUCUCUUAUAGAUUAUAUAGAAAGUAGUAUGUACAAUUAUAUACAAAAUAUAUAAAUAUAAAACCCGUUGUAAAAAUAAAUUAGUCUUUUUCGAAAAUUCUCGGUAAGAAUGGGAUGUAAUUUUUUUUCUGUUUUAAGAAAAGGAAAAUCUUGUUUCCUGAAUCAUUGUACAUUUCAAUUUGAAUUAGGAAUUCUGUGUCCAACUCUACCUGUACCCGAAACCGACACAGGUGGGUAGGUAGAGAAUAACUAGGGGCGCGAGACAACUCNAGAAUACCUAGGGGCGCGAGACAACUCUCUCUAAGGAACUCGUCAAAAUAGCCCCGUAACUUUGGGAGAAGGGGUUCCUCCUCACAAAGGGGGUCGCAGUGACCAGGCCCGGGCGACUGUUUACCAAAAACACAGGUCUUUGCAAAGUUGUAAGACCAUGUAUGGGGGCUGACGCCUGCCCAGUGCUGGAAGGUCAAGGAAGUUGGUGACCUGAUGAUAGGGGAGCCGGCGACCGAAGCCCCAGUGAAAGGCAGCCGUAACUAUAACGGUCCUAAGGUAGCAAAAUUCCUUAUCGGGUAAGUUCUGACCCGCACGAAAGGUGUAACGAUCUGGGCACUGUCUCUAAGAGAGGCUCAGUGAAAUAGACAUGUCUGUGAAGAUGCGGACUACCUGCACCUGGACAGAAAGACCCNCAGAAAGACCCAAUGAAGCCUUCACUAUUCCCUGGGAUUGGCUUUGGGCCUUUCCUGCGUCGCUUACGUGGAAGCCGAAGAAGGCCUCCUUCCGGGGGGCCCGAGCCAUCAGUGAGAUACCACUCUAAAAGGGAUAGAAUUCUAACCUUGUGUCAGGACCUACGGGCCAAGGGACAGUCUCAGGUAGACCGUUUCUAUGGGGCGUAGGCCUCCCAAAAGGUAACAUAGGCAUGCAAAGGUUUCCUCGGGCCGGACGGAGAUCGUCCCUCGAGUGCAAAGGCAACAGGGAGCUUGACUGCAAGACCCACCCGUCGAGCAGGAACAAAAGUUGGACUUAGUGAUCCGACGGUGCCGAGUGGAAGGGUCGUCGCUGAACGGAUAAAAGUUACUCUAGGGAUAACAGGCUGAUCUUCCCCAAGAGAUCACAUCGACGGGAAGGUUUGGAACCUCGAUGUCGGCUCUUCGCCACUGGGGCUGUAGUAUGUUCCAAGGGUUGGGUUGUUCGCCCAUUAAAACGGUAUGUGAGCUGCGUUCAGAACGUCGUGAGAUAGUUCGGUCCAUAUCCGGUGUGCGCGUUAGAGCAUUGAGAGGACCUUUCCCUAGUACGAGAGGACUGGGAAGGACGCACCUUUGGUGUACCAGUUAUCGUGCCCACGGUAAACGCUGGGUAGCCAAGUGCGGAGCGGAUAACUACUGAAAACAUCUAAGUAGUAAGCCCACCCCAAGAUGAGUGCUCUCCUAUUCCGACUUCCCUAGAGCUUCCNUUCCCCAGAGCUUCGGUAGCACAGUCGAGACAGCGACGGGUUCUCUGCCCUUGCGGAGAUGGAGCAACAGAAUUUUUUUUUGAGAAUUCAAGAGAAGGUUACGGCGAGACGAUCCGUUUAUCAUUACGAUAGGUGUCAAGUGGAAGUGCAGUGAUGUAUGCAGCUGAGGCAUUCUAAUAGACCGGUAGACGUGAAC
This 3148-nucleotide transfer RNA is filed under the name Solanum pennellii. RNAcentral describes it as "bacterial LSU rRNA". The stretch from base 1516 to 3148 matches the Rfam family "Bacterial large subunit ribosomal RNA". The record is from RNAcentral. Lineage: Eukaryota; Viridiplantae; Streptophyta; Magnoliopsida; Solanales; Solanaceae.